CCGAGCACCAACAGCGGCGCCUCCGGCACGGACGCGUCCGCUUCCGGCCCAGCCGGGCCCAGCGCCCGUUCCAGCGCUGCCGCCAUUCGGCCGUGGCCAAUCUCUGCCUCCGUUCCGCGGGGAGCGGCCAAUGGGAGCUCGGAGCCCCUCAGCCAAUCGGGGAGCGGCUUCCCUCAGCGCUGCUCCCGCCCACCGCGCGCCUCAACCAAUCGGAGGGGAGAGUCCCGCGGAGCCGCUCCCGCCCGCCGUGCUCUCCUCAGCCAAUCGGAGAGGAGCAUCUCUCAGCCCACGGCGCGCGCCUCAGCCAACCAGAAGAGGCUCCCUCCCGCUCCCGCCCACCGCGCGCGUCUCAGCCAAUCGGAGGGCACGAAAAGGAGGGCGGGAUGCCCGUCCCGCGCGCCGUCCCCCUCCUCGCUUUUCAUUGGCCGCUCCAGCCGCCAAUCCAGCACCGCCCCGUCUCCCGACGCGCUUCAAAGCCCCGCCCCUUCCCGCUCCGCUCAGCCAAUAGGGAGGCGGUACCCGGCAGGGGGGGGCGUGCCCGGAGCUGUCAGUCACUCCCCGCUGCCUGGCAACGCGUUGCUUGGCGACGGCGGGCUGUUGCCGGGCAACGGGGCGAGUUGGGCGCGGCUCCGCGCAUGCGCAGACGAGACGGGACGCACGAUGUGCACCAGGAGGCGCAGGGAUGGAUGAUGCACAGGGAUGCAUGAGGCUGCAGGGCUUGCACGAGGAUGCACGAGGGUGCACGAGGAGGCGCCGGGUUGCACGACAAUGCACGGGUGUGAGCACACGAGGAUGCACCGGAGAGCAUAAGAAUGCAUGGGGUUGGGGGGCAUGAGGGAUGUGCAGCGUUGCACGGGGAUUCACAGGGAUGGAUGCACGGGGGGGCUGCGGGAUGCAAGAGGGGUGCACGAGGAUGCACGGCGGUGCACGAGGAUGCAUGCACGGGAUGCACGAGGGUGCACAGUGUUGCACAGCGUCGCACGAGGAUGCACGGUGUCGCACGAGGAUGCACGGGGUUGCACAAGGAUGCACGGUGUUGCAUGAGGGUGCAUGCACGAGGUUGCACAGUGUUGCACAGUGUUGCACGAGGAUGCACGGGGUUGCACGAGGAUGCACCGGGUUGCACAGCAUCGCACGAGGAUGCACGGUGUUGCACGAGGAUGCAUGCACGAGGGUGCACAGUGUUGCACAGUGUUGCACGAGAAUGCACGAGGAUGCACAGCGUUGCACAGCAUCGCACGAGGAUGCACGGUGUUGCACGAGGGAGCACGGGGUUGCACGAGGAUGCACAGUGUUGCAUGAGGGUGCAUGCACGAGGUUGCACAGUGUUGCACAGCAUCACACAAGGAUGCACGGGGUUGCACAAGGAUGCACGGGGGUGCACGCGCGUGCACAGCAUUGCACGAUGCAUGAGGAUGGAUGCACAGUGACGCAUGGUGGCUCAUGGUCAGGGUGCAAAAUGGUGCACGAGGGUGCCCGGGGUUACACGAGGAUGCACGAGGGUGCGUGGGGAUGCACGUGGAGGAUGCACUUGGUGCACAACGGUGCACGCGGACGGACGCACGAGGGUGCAGAGGGCGGCACAAGGAUGCAAGGGGGUGCACAAGAUUGGAUGCACGGGGAUGCACGAGGAUGGAUGCAUGAGGCGGCACGAGGAUGCACGGGGAUGUGCAAGGAUGCUCAGAGUUGCACGAGGUUGCACGGGGAGGCACGGGGAUGCACAAGUGUGCAGAGGACACACGGGGACACGUGUGGGCAGCCGAAGUCGCCCAGCCCGGUGCACACGGUUGCACGAGGCCGCGUGCCAUUGCACCAGGAUGCACGAGGAUGCAUGGCGAGGCACGGCGUGGCACGGGGAGGCACGAGGCUGCACGGGGAUACAAGGGCGUGCACGGGGGUGGGUGCACGAGGGUGCAAGAGGUUGCACGAGGGCGCAGAGCACACACGGGGACGGCUGCAGAGGGACACCCGAGGACGCCCAAAGCUUCACGGGGACGCCCGCGGGCUCACGAGGAUGCACGGCCCCGUGCACGGGGAUGCACGAGGAUGCACGAGAGGAUGCACGAGGAGGCCGGCUCGGGGCGUCCCCUCGGCUACGCGUAUUCUCCAGCAAUAACAGCGCGGCCGUGUUAUCCGCCCGAGAAUACCCGUCACCGCGGGGCGCGGGGGGGGCAUCCGGGGGGGGGGGGGUGGGGGGGGAUUGAGGGGGGAAAGGGGGGAGGGGAGGGGAGGAGGAGGAGGGGGGAUUCGAACCCGCGGACGGGGGAAGCCCUGGGCGGGGCCUCGAGAGCCGCCGGGUGGGGAUUCAGCACCACGGACAGCGGCAAUGCUGCUCUAAUGGGGGCUGUGGGGGUUCUAUAGGGAUCUAUAGGGGUCUAUGGGGGACCAUAGGGGUUCUAUGAGGUCUAUGGGGACUCUAUGGGGGACUAUAGGGGUUCUAUAGUGGUCUAUGGGGCUCAGCACCACGGACAGCGGCAAUGCUGCUCUAAUGGGGGCUGUGGGGGUUCUAUAGGGGUCUGUGGGGCCCUAUAGGGGUCUAUAGAGGUCUAUGGAGCACUAUAGGAGUACUAUAGGGGUCUAUGGGGUUCAGCACCACGGACAGCGGCAAUGCUGCUCUAAUGGAGGAUGUGGGGGUUCUAUACGGCUCUGUGGGGGACUAUAGGGGUAUUAUGGGGGUCUAUGGGGGUACUAUAGGGGUCUAUGGGGUUCAGCACCACGGACAGCGGCAAUGCUGCUCUAAUGAGGGCUGUCGGGGUUCUAUAGGGGUCUGUGGGGGUCUGUGGGGGACUAUAGGGGUAUUAUGGGGGUCUAUGGGGGUACUUUGGGGGUCUAUGGGGUUCAGCACCACGGAUAGCUGCAAUGCUGCUGUAAUGGGGGCUGUGGGGGUUCUAUAGGGGGCUCUCGGGGACUAUAGGGGUAUUAUGGGGGUCUAUGUGGGUACUAUAGGGGUCUAUGGGGUUCAGCACCACGGACAGCGGCAAUGCUGCUCUAAUGGGGACUGUCGGGGUUCUAUAGGGGUCUGUGGGGGUCUGUGGGGGUCUGUGGGGGACUAUAGGGGUAUUAUGGGGUCUGUGGGGAACUACGGGGGUAGUAUAGGGGUCUAUGGGGCUCUAAUGCGGGCUGUGAGGGUUCUAUAGGGGUCUAUGGGGGUCUAUGGCAGGCUAUUGGGGUACUAUAGGGGUCUAUAGGCCUUUAAUGGGGACCGCUGGGUUCCAUAGGGGUCCAUUAGGGUCAGUGAGGGACUAUAGGGGUGCUAUAGGUUCUAUAGGGGUCUACGUGGGGCUAUAGGGGUAUAGGAAUCCAUGGAGGUUCUAUGGGGACUAUCGGGGUACUAUAGGGGUCUAUGCGGUUCAGCACCACGGACAGUGGCAAUGGGGCUGUAAAGUGGACUGUGGGGGUUCUAUAGGGAUCUAUAGGGGUCUAUGGGGGACUAUAGGGGUUCUAUGGGGUCUAUGGGGGCUCUAUGGGGGACUAUAGGGGUUCUAUAGGGGUCUAUGGGGCUCAGCACCACGAACAGUGGCAAUGGGGCUCUAAUGGGGGCUGUGGGGGUUCUAUAGGGAUCUAUAGGGGUCUAUGGGGGACUAUAGGGGUUCUAUGGGGACUAUAGGGGUUCUAUGGGGGUCUAUGGGGGUUCUAUUGGGGACUAUAGGGGUACUACAGGGAUCUGUGGGGCUUAACACCGCGGGCAGCGGCAAUGGGGCUCUAUAGGGGUUCUAUAGGGGUCUAUGGGGGUUCUAUUGGGGACUAUAGGGGUUCUAUAGGGUUCUAUGUGGGUUCUAUGGUGGAUCAGCACCACGGACAGCGGCAAUGGGGCUCUAUAGGGGUCUGUGGGGGUUCUAUGAGGGACUAUAGGGGUUCUAUAGGGUUCUAUGGGGGUUCUAUGGUGGAUCAGCAUCACGGACAGCGGCAAUGGGGCGCUAUAGGGGUUCUAUAGGGGUCUGUGGGGUCUCAGCACCACCGACAGUGGCAGUAGGGUUCUAUAGGGGUCUAUAGGCUGUCUAUAGGGGCUCGGCAAGACGGACAGCGGCAAUGGGGCUCUAUAGGGGUUCUAUAGGGGUCUAUGGGGGUUCUAUUGGGGACUAUAGGGGUUCUAUAGGGGUCUAUGGGGGUUCUAUGGUGGAUUAGCAUCACGGACAGCGGCAAUGGGGCGCUAUAGGGGUUCUAUAUGGGUCUAUGGGGCAAUGCGGUUCGGUGGAGAACUAUGGGAAUUCUAUGGGGUUUGGCAACAGGGACAGCGGCAGCGGCACUCUAUGGGGGUCGUAUGGGGUCUAUGGGGGUUCUAUAGGGAUCUAUUGGGGUUCUAUAGGGGUCCGGAAGCACGGAGAGCAGCUGGAGGGGGCAAUGGGAUUGUAUGGGGCCUAGGGGGGAUUCUAUGGGAGCUCUAUAGGCGGUGCUAUAGGGGUUGUAUGGGGGGGGGACAAUGGGAGCUCUGUAGGGGGUUCUAUAGGUUCUAUAUGGGGCUUUGGCACCCAGGAUAGCAGCUGUGGGGGGUCAAUGGGGCUCGGGGGGGGGGGGGGUCCUGUAGGACGGUCCUCCAGGGGCUGUAUGGGGUUCUAUAAGGGGUUCUAUGAAGCCUAUGGGGGUUCUAUGGGGGGGCUCUAUAUAGGGCCCUCUACAUAGGGGCUCCACGGGGUUCCAUAGGGGCCCUAUAGGGCUCUAUGGGGAUGGGGGGGGAUGUAUAUAGGGCCCUCUACAUAGGGGCUCCAUGGGGGCUCUAUAGGGGCCCUAUGGGGCUCAAUGGGGGGGAGGAUCUAUAUAGGGCCCACAUAGGGGCUCCAUGGGGGCUCUAUAGGGGCCCUAUAGGGCUCAAUGGGGGGUGGAGGGGCUCUAUAUAGGGCCCACUACAUAGGGGCUUCAUGGGGUUCCAUAGGGGCCCUAUAGGGCUCUAUGGGGAUGGGGGGGGCUAUAUAUAGGGCCCUCUACAUAGGGGCUCCAUGGGGGCUCUAUAGGGGCCCUAUAGGGCUCAAUGGGGGGUGGAGGGGCUCUAUAUAGGGCCCACUACAUAGGCGCUUCAUGGGGUUCCAUAGGGGCCCUAUAGGGCUCAAUGGGGGGGAGGGGGGGGGCUUUAUAUAGGGCCCUCUACAUAGGGGCUCCAUGGGGGCUCUAUAGGGGCCCUAUAGGGCUCUAUGGGGGGGGGAGGAUCUAUAUAGGGCCCACAUAGGGGCUCCACGGGGUUCCAUAGGGGCCCUACAGAGAGCUCAGCGAUGCCUAUGGGGAUGGACACAGGGCCCAUAUAGGGCCUCAGUGAGCUUCUAUGGGGGCUCUCUAUGGGGCGCCGAUCGGGGCCUCUAUAGGGACUCUAUAGGGCCCAUAUAGGGCCUCCACGAGCUUCUACGGGGGCUCUCUAUGGGACGCCAACCGGGGGCUCUAUAGGGACUCUAUAGGGCCCUCCAGCACCGCCGCACGGCCCCACCCCCCCCAACCCCCCCCCAAACCCCCCCCCCCCAACCCGUCCGUCCCCACCGGGGGGGGUCGUGGGGGGGUCGUGGGGGGGUCCCGGCCCAGCGCU
This is a long non-coding RNA of Gallus gallus (chicken), 5509 nucleotides long. Lineage: Eukaryota; Metazoa; Chordata; Aves; Galliformes; Phasianidae. The record is from Ensembl.